Molecule: ribosomal RNA, 468 nt
Filed under: uncultured bacterium
Lineage: Bacteria
Description: partial 16S ribosomal RNA
Rfam family: Bacterial small subunit ribosomal RNA
Source: RNAcentral
GACGAACGCUGGCGGCGUGCUUAACACAUGCAAGUCGAACGGAAAGGCCCUGCUUUUGUGGGGUGCUCGAGUGGCGAACGGGUGAGUAACACGUGAGUAACCUGCCCUUGACUUUGGGAUAACUUCAGGAAACUGGGGCUAAUACCGGAUUGGAGCUCCUGCUGCAUGGUGGGGGUCGGAAAGCUUAGGUGGUUGGGGAUGGACUGCCGGCUUAUCAGCUUGUUGGUGGGGUAGUGGCUUACCAAGGCUUUGACGGGUAGCCGGCCUGAGAGGGUGACCGGCCACAUUGGGACUGAGAUACGGCCCAGACUCCUACGGGAGGCAGCAGUGGGGAAUAUUGCACAAUGGGCGGAAGCCUGAUGCAGCAACGCCGCGUGCGGGAUGACGGCCUUCGGGUUGUAAACCGCUUUCGCCUGUGACGAAGCGUGAGUGACGGUAAUGGGUGAAGAAGCACCGGCUAACUACGUG